RNAcentral lists this ribosomal RNA (253 nucleotides) under uncultured bacterium. RNAcentral describes it as "partial 16S ribosomal RNA". It matches the Rfam family "Bacterial small subunit ribosomal RNA", at positions 524 to 776 of the family's 1533-position model. The record is from RNAcentral.
UACGGAGGAUGCAAGCGUUAUCCGGAAUGAUUGGGCGUAAAGCGUCCGCAGGUGGCUGUGUAAGUCUGCUGUUAAAGAGUGAGGCUCAACCUCAUAAAGGCAGUGGAAACUACAUGGCUAGAGUGCGUUCGGGGCAGAGGGAAUUCCUGGUGUAGCGGUGAAAUGCGUAGAUAUCAGGAGGAACACCGGUGGCGAAGGCGCUCAUCUGGCCCAAUACUGACGCUGAGGCGCGAAAGCUAGGGGAGCAAACGGG